AGCCAAGCGGCUGGGUUUAACUACUAGUAGUCCAACAGACUUUUUUUUAUUUUAGUUUUUAUUCUAAUGUUUAAUCUAUUUUGGUUUAUAUAUUUAAAGUAACAUCAAAUAAUAAAUGACCAUGAGUGGUCUGGUGGAGAGGGGUAGUAUCAUAGUCUUGAGUGGGGUGGGUUCAAUACUCAUGUGUAGCAUUUUUUUGGCAUUUUAUUUCUUUUAGCUAUUUUAUUUUCUUUUAGCAUUUUCAUUUCUUUUUAUGUUUAUGCCUUUAUUAUACUCAUAGUUUCAUUUGUUAAUAAUGCAAAUUUGUUUUCUUUUAAUUUCAUCAUUCAUUCAAAACCAUUUUUAAACUUAUAAAAAUCAUAUUUUUCUCGAUUUAAUAUCGAGCCCAUUUUCACACCCUUGUAAGUCGAUUGCUUUUUAAGCAUCGCCAUCAACCUCACAUAGCUUACUCUUGGGCUUUCUCACAAUGAGCCGGUUCUCUUGCACUUACACUCAUAUUUCGCAUCAUUUUUUGUUUGGGCCUGAUCUAAUUAUUUCAUUGAUUUUGAAUCCCCC
Molecule: long non-coding RNA, 555 nt
Filed under: Lathyrus oleraceus (garden pea)
Lineage: Eukaryota; Viridiplantae; Streptophyta; Magnoliopsida; Fabales; Fabaceae
Description: Pisum sativum (pea) long non-coding RNA (PSAT_LNC022585)
Source: RNAcentral